This 253-nucleotide ribosomal RNA is filed under the name uncultured bacterium. RNAcentral's name for it is "partial 16S ribosomal RNA". It matches the Rfam family "Bacterial small subunit ribosomal RNA", at positions 524 to 776 of the family's 1533-position model. The record is from RNAcentral.
UACGUAGGGUGCGAGCGUUAAUCGGAAUUACUGGGCGUAAAGAGUGCGUAGGCGGUUUCUCAAGUCCGCUGUGAAAUCCCCGGGCUCAACCUGGGAAUGGCAGUGGAUACUGGCAAGCUAGAGUGCGGUAGAGGGUAGUGGAAUUCCCGGUGUAGCGGUGAAAUGCGUAGAGAUCGGGAGGAACACCAGUGGCGAAGGCGGCUACCUGGACCAGCACUGACACUGAGGCACGAAAGCGUGGGGAGCAAACAGG